Molecule: ribosomal RNA, 451 nt
Filed under: uncultured bacterium
Lineage: Bacteria
Description: partial 16S ribosomal RNA
Rfam family: Bacterial small subunit ribosomal RNA
Source: RNAcentral
GAUGAACGCUGGCGGCGUGCCUAAUACAUGCAAGUCGAACGAAGCCUUCGGGCUUAGUGGCGGACGGGUGAGUAACACGUUGGUACCUGCCUCGAAGUGGGGAAUAACUGGCCGAAAGGUCGGCUAAUACCGCAUGUGAUCGCAAGAUCAAAGUCGUAAGACGCUUCGAGAGGGGCCUGCGUCCCAUUAGCUAGUUGGUAGGGUAAUGGCCUACCAAGGCGACGAUGGGUAGCUGGAUCGAGAGGUUGACCAGCCACACUGGGACUGAGAUACGGCCCAGACUCCUACGGGAGGCAGCAGUAAGGAAUCUUCCACAAUGGACGAAAGUCUGAUGGAGCAACGCCGCGUGCAGGAUGACGGCCUUCGGGUUGUAAACUGCUUUUAUAUGGGAAGAUUAUGACGGUACCAUAUGAAUAAGGACCGGCUAACUACGUGCCAGCAGCAGCCGCGG